Molecule: ribosomal RNA, 1194 nt
Filed under: Craterostigmus tasmanianus
Lineage: Eukaryota; Metazoa; Arthropoda; Chilopoda; Craterostigmomorpha; Craterostigmidae
Description: eukaryotic LSU rRNA
Rfam family: Eukaryotic large subunit ribosomal RNA
Source: RNAcentral
GUGAGGGAAAGUUGCAAAGAACUUUGAAGAGAGAGUUCAAGAGUACGUGAAACCGCUCGGAGGCAAACGGGUGGGACCUCGAAGGUCGAACGGGGGGAUUCAACCCGUCGGUUUACUGGAUGCGGGCCUCCGUCUACGAAAGGAUCUUUCACGGACCGGAUGGAGGCUGCGGCAACCGCCGUCGGGCGCACUUCCCCCUUAGUAGGACGCUGCGACCGGUUGGGAGAAACGGUGGCGGCCAUGCGGCGAGGCAGGGCAGGUAUCCAUGCCGGUCGGCGACCCUCGAUAUCCUCGGGGAAUCGCUCCGGUCGGAGUUAUAGCUCGCUUCGUCCCGGCUCCGCUACCCAACCGAGGAGAGCGAAUUCGUUUUUCGAGACCCGCGCCCCGCGCUCUUUAACGCGCACGGGCCAUCCGGCAGGAUGGGUUCGUACCCGCUGGCCCGCACUCUGCGGCGGUCAGUGGUGGCGGCCCGCCGUUGGCACGGAUGUAGCUCCCGUAGAGGCGCUCGUGGUCUGCGGCGAGUAGGUCGGUUCCCCACCCNNNNNNNNNNNNNNNNNNNNNNCCAAGGAGUCUAACAUGUGCGCGAGUCGUAGGGUUACGCUCAAAGCCCGAAGGCGCAAUGAAAGUGAAGGUCGGCCUCGAUUGCCGUUACCUAGGCGGGAUCCGUUCGGGCUUACCGGUCGUUCGCGGCUGAGCCCGGCGGCGCACCGCCGGCCCGUCUCGACCGCAUCGCCGGUGAGGCGGAGCGAGAGCGUACACGUUGGGACCCGAAAGAUGGUGAACUAUGCCCGGGCAGGACGAAGCCAGAGGAAACUCUGGUGGAGGUCCGUAGCGAUUCUGACGUGCAAAUCGAUCGUCGGACCUGGGUAUAGGGGCGAAAGACUAAUCGAACCAUCUAGUAGCUGGUUCCYUCCGAAGUUUCCCUCAGGAUAGCUGGUGCUCGAGGAGGGCAGUCUCAUCCGGUAAAGCGAAUGAUUAGAGGCCUUGGGGCCGAAACGACCUCAACCUAUUCUCAAACUUUCAAUGGGUGAGAAGUCCGGCUUGCUUGACUGAAGCCCGGACGUCGGAUGCGAGCGCCCAGUGGGCCACUUUUGGUAAGCAGAACUGGCGCUGUGGGAUGAACCAAACGCCGGGUUACGGCGCCCGAUGCGGACGCUCAUAAGACCCCAUGAAAGGUGUUGGUUGCUAUAGACA